AAAAUGUUAAAGUGCAUCGGCUUAUAAUAUCUCGAUGACAUUUCAAACACGCCUACACAACGUCCAAUGUACACAUUUAAUAUUUUACAUUAUUGGGAUUUAUGAGGCGUGAUAUAGUUUAUUAAAAGUACAAUGCAGUUUCUCUUCCUUAUAUGUUACAUGUUGUUCUGGAGUAACAUUUUACAGGCAGAUAAUGCCCAGGAUGUUACAGAAGAAUCAUGUAGAAAUCUUCUCCUCAGUCCUGAGUUUGAUGACGGCAUAGAAACAAUGAAUGAAUUGGAGUGUAUGUACUGGGCCUAUGGUUAUAGCAGAGACGAGGCAUUAAGUUUGGCUAAUCAGUCAUUCCAAGGAAAAAAUAAUGAAUCUGUUGUCCAAUGACAAAAACGGUGAUGAUUUUUUUGCAAAGACAAAAUAAAAAUCUACCGACUUUUCGCUCACAAAUUUUUACGUCUAUAACUAUAGAGAAUCUAAGACUGACAUGUUUUUCAAUCCUAUAUUAACCUUGUUAUUCCAUAAUUACUCAAAAAUAAUUGUGCUUUGACAGAAUUAUUUAUUUACAGCUUUAAAGUUCAGUUUAACUUUGUGUAUUGCUGUGUGUUUGGUUUUCUAUAUUGGCCAAAGGUAUAGGAGGAGGGUUGAGAUCCAACAACUCAUUUUUACCCCCCCCCCCCCCCCUCCCCCGCAUUUUUCACCUGUCCCAAGUCAGGAGCCUCUGGGCUUUGUUAGUCUUGUAUAAAUUUUAGUCUUAGUUCAUUUAUAUAUUGUAGAGUUUCAAAUCGGACAAUAACGGGUAUGUCAUCAUGUACUAAUACGGCUUGUCCCGUGUUUGACCGAUCCGAGAAGUAAUAUAAACAGAGCAAGUUCAUCAGUAUUGCAUAUACUGAUUUAUUUGUAUCAGAGCUGAUUUUUUCAUAUCAUUUUUAAAUAACACGAACAAUCACUGAAUUACAGACUUCGGGCUUGGGACAGGCGCAUGUACUUUUAAAAAGCUGCAGAAAAUCUCGAAUCUUAAAUCAAAGUAAAGUUGGUCCAGCUGUCCAAAGAUUUCAAGACCCCGUUAACAUAAAAUUGUCCAUAUUUUGAGUUAAAGCCAAUGAAAUUUUCUAUCAUUUUGAUAUAUUUUGUCCCAAAAGUAGGACAACAAACUGUAAUAAUAUUAUUGAGAAGGCACUGUUGGGAUUUUUUAUAUUUUCAUGUAUUGUCUAAAAGGAACGCACUAGAAAAUAACUGUGUAUUUUUGUAAAUUUAGAAUCUGUACUUUGGCAACUUCCCUGAAUGAUUUACUGUUGUCAAUUUGUCAAUUAGUAUGAAACUAAAGGAUUUAUAUUUAUAUUUGAUAGAAUUUCUUCAAAAAAUGACAAAGGAGUAGGUCCAGUAAGAGCCCUUUUUGGCCUCAAAAUAUAGCCGUUUUACAAAAUUGAUAAAAUGUAAACUUUAAGUUAUUUAUUGAACAGUAGAGUGCUUUUGUUACAUAAAUAUGGGCUAUUUUUGACUAUACAAUGAACAUUUAUUGGGUGCUGGCACCUUAAAGUCAUGCUAAAUUACUGAAUUCUUCACAAUUCUAGCAUUUUAGUUAAAUUUUAGACGGUUUUCGUGUAAAACGAAAGUGGCCGCAUUCGUGUUCAUCCUUCAUAUUGAAAUGGAAGUUGUAUUUCAUGAUAAAACAUAACAUAUAUAAAGGUUGAGGAUGAACACGGAUGCAGCCACUUUCAUUUUUGAUAAAAAAAAACAUCCGAAAAGUGACAUUUUUCGGCAUAUUUGGUUGAUUUUUCAUAUUUGAGCUUGAUCGUUUUUAAUGACUUAAUCAGUUCAUAUCUUCCACAUAAACCAAUUGAUUCAAAUGAAAUAAACACUAAAGUGUUUGAAAAGUGGUAAAAAUCUAUUGUCAGAUGAACCUGAAAUUUGAGGCCAAAAUCGGUCCUUACCGGACCUACUCCUUUUGGCAUUAUAUGGUCAAAAUAAGCAUUUCAUAGCUUUUUCAAUUUUGAUGCAUAAGUGGCAUUCUUACUUUCUAUUUGACAGGUUUUCAUGUGUCAAUAUUUGUGUUUCAGUGCUUGACAAUCAAGUAGAAAAUCCGUUUUAGUAGAUAAACAUGUAUUUUACAGUAUGAACGGUUACUUAUUUGUUUUAAAUGUACAAGGUUGAACUCUUAUAUUUUGGGUGUUCUAUGAAGAUCAUUGUUUAUUUCUGUACAUCUAUGUCGUGAUCUUGUUAUCUGAAAAUACAUAUAAAUAAAUGCCCACUGUUGUUGAUGCUCAUACUUCUAGAUUUUGACAAUAUAAUAAUUUCUCAGUUCUUCAACUCAUCUCGUUAUUAAUUUUUUUGUCAUUAUAUAUUUAUCAAUGAACAUACAUCUUUUGUACCUAUAUAUAAAAAGGGCGGAGUUGGCUUUUCUUGUCUAUUGGAAAGUUUUCUUUAUAAUUGGCUUUUAUACCAAGUGCUUUUUAUAUUUUAAGAGAAUUUAGUGGUUGUAAUGACUCCAAAUAUAUACAGUCUUCUUACCUUCCAUAAUGUAAAUUCGUCAUAAAGCAGAAAAUGCAAAUCUUUAUACAUGUACUUACACAUGUAAUACUCGUAAUUACCAAAAACAUAUUGGGCAGUACAACAGAUAACAAAAACCACCAAACCAUAACUUUUUCACACACAAAAUAGACAUACAUUUAUACGUUUCAAAGUUGGUGCUUGAAAAGUGUACUCGUCUCCUUGAUAAGUUUUAAGGAGUAAAAUAUUGCAAAUAAACUCAUCAUAGAUACCAAACAUAUCAGGACAAAAGACUUACCAGUGACGCUCGAAUCAAACAUGUUAAAAAUAGGCCAAAUAAAGUACGAAGUUGGAGAGCAUUUUUAUAACACCAAAAGUUUUGCCAAACACAGCUAAAACUGAGAAUGAGAAAUUGGGAAUGUGUUAAAAAGAGACACAACAACCCGACGAUAGAGCAGACAACAGUCGAUGGCCACCAAUGGGUCUUAAAUGCAGCGUUUAAUCUAUUCCUGAGUGCAAUUGCAUGUAUUUUGCAAGUAGUCAAUGCUUAAUUUCGCAUCUCCCAAGAUUUUGGAAUCUGCAUACCUCCCCAAUUUACACAUAUCAAUUUGCCCUAAGGCAGAAAACGCAAAUCCCUUAUAUUUUAAAUCUUGAAUAUUAAACAUGAAUAUAGCAAUUUAGUAUGUUAGAUAAAAGACAGCAUAGGUCUUUGGUAUAAAGUACUAAAUUAAAUUAAUGACAGUAAAACAAAAUCCCUAGCUGGCUAUAAGUUAUGAGCACAUAUGAAACAAUUUUAUUUUAUCAAACUUAACUUUCUUCGGCGAUUUUUUUUUUAAUGGUUAAUGACCAAUGGAUAUAUUUAUGCCAUAAUCUUGAAUUGUUUGGUAGGGUUUUCCGACGUAAAAGGUUACACUACAUUUAUUUUGUCAUAAGGUGUAUAUUGUUGUUAGACAGAAAUUGAGUACUUCUAUGAGGAUUAUGGAGUAGUCUCUCUUUGUUUAAAUCUAGUAUAGCUGGGUGUCUUCAAUACAAGUUACUAAAUAAAUCAUCAAGUUUCUAUUUUUAUUAUCAAUUUUUACGUUUUUAUACAAUCCAUACAAUCAGUAUUUUAGUAAACCAUUAUUACUCGAUUGUUUAAUUAAUUUUUUUUAAAUAUAUAAUCGGCACCUUUUUUUAGUUAGAAAAUAAAUUCAAAAUAUGUUUCAUUUCUUUCCAAGUUUCUAAUUAAAGUGAUGUACAUUUUCAAUUUAAUUAUGUAUUCAGUGGCAAUGCGAUUGUAUCUUCAACACUUUCAUUCAAAUUUUACGGCUAUCAGUUGAUCAGUUCAUCUUUCAGGACAUCACAACCUUCCUAGACCUUAUCUUAUAUGUUGAUGACGACAAUUAUCGUCCUUACCUUUACCUCAGAUGUAAGUGGGGUACUCCAGCCAGGGUGUUAAAAAAAACAUUUUUAGCUCACCUGGCCUGUAGGGCCAAGUGAGCUUUUCUCAUCACUUGACGUCCGUCGUCGUUAACUUUUACAACAGUCUUCUCCUUUGAAAAUACCGGGCUAAAUUUAACCAAACUUGGCCACGAUCAUCAUUGUUUAAAAAAUGUGUUCGAUGAACCGACUAACCAACCAAGAUGGCCGCCAUGGAUAAAAAUAGAACAUAGGGGGUAAAAUGUAGAUUUUGGACUAUAUCUCUAAAAACAAAGCAUUUGAGAGCAAAUCUGAUGAGGGAUAACAAUUGUUCAUUAGUUCAUAAUCUAUCUACUCUGAAAUUUUCAUACCAGUCAGGCAACCUGUUGAUGGGUUGCUGUCCCUGAAUUAGUAAUAUUAAGAAAAUUUUGUAGCUUUUGGAUAUCAUCUUGAAUAUUAUUUUAGAUAGAGAUAAACUGUAAACAGCAAUAAUGUACAAAGUAAGACCUACAAAUAAGUCAAUAUGAUAAAAAUGGUCAAUUGAUCCCUUAAUGAGUUAUUACCCUUUAUAGUCAAUUUUUAACAAUUUUCGUAAUUUUUUACAAAACAUUUUCCACCGAACUACUGGCACAAGUUAAUUUUAGAUAGAGAUAAUUGUAAGCAGCAAGUACGUUCAUUAAUGUAAGAUUUACAAACACAUCACCAUCAUGCACCAAAAAAACAGUUUUGUCAUGAAUCCAUCUGUGUCCUUUAUUAAAAAGGUGAGACACACAAGCUCUUUUAGAGCCUCUAGUUUCAUAUAUGAACGUAGAUAACGAAUUUAUUUGCGGUCUAAGUCCGAAUUGGCCGAUUUUUAGGGAAAAUUGGGACAAAGGUGUAACUUGAAAACAACGGGUUUUUUCUUCAAUAUUUUUUAUUUUAUUGAAUUUGUAAAUUUAACAUAUUCUUUACGGGAUGUAGGAUACUUACUUUCUUUGAUAAAAUCAUAUAUAUAUA
Mytilus trossulus (common blue mussel) is the source of this 4875-nucleotide long non-coding RNA. RefSeq lists it as uncharacterized. Lineage: Eukaryota; Metazoa; Mollusca; Bivalvia; Mytilida; Mytilidae. The transcript has 3 exons. The record is from RefSeq and is a predicted model, not a curated record.